UACGUAGGUGGCAAGCGUUGUCCGGAUUUAUUGGGCGUAAAGAGCGCGUAGGCGGCUUGUUAAGUUCGGGGUGAAAUCUCCCGGCCUAACCGGGAGGGGUCCUCGGAUACUGGCAGGCUAAGAGGGGAGCAGAGGAGAGUGGAAUUCCCGGUGUAGUGGUGGAAUGCGUAGAUAUCGGGAGGAACACCAGUGGCGAAGGCGGCUCUCUGGGCUCUACCUGACGCUGAGGCGCGAAAGCGUGGGGAGCGAACCGG
This 254-nucleotide ribosomal RNA is filed under the name uncultured bacterium. RNAcentral describes it as "partial 16S ribosomal RNA". It matches the Rfam family "Bacterial small subunit ribosomal RNA", at positions 524 to 776 of the family's 1533-position model. The record is from RNAcentral.